Pristis pectinata (smalltooth sawfish) is the source of this 2860-nucleotide long non-coding RNA. RefSeq lists it as uncharacterized. The record is from RefSeq and is a predicted model, not a curated record. Lineage: Eukaryota; Metazoa; Chordata; Chondrichthyes; Rhinopristiformes; Pristidae. The transcript is spliced from 4 exons.
GGCGUAUGGGGCAACACAGAAGAUGCUGGAGGAACUCAGUGAGUUCCUCCAGUGGCUUGUGUGUGCUCCAAAUUCAUCAUCUGCAGUCCCUAGUGUCUCCAAGGCUGCAUACGGCAUGCUUGCCUUCAUAGGCCAGGGCAUAGAACAUAGGAGUUGGGAUGUUAUGUUGCAAUAUUACAAGACAUUGGUUAGGCCACACUUGGAGUAUUGUGUGUGAUUCUGGUCCCACACUGUGACUGCAGAAAGUGCAGAGGAGAUUCACCAGGAUGCUGCCUGGAUUGGAGAACUUUAGUUCUGGCGAGAGAUUGGAUAGGCUGCGUUUAUUCUCACUGGAAUGCAGGAGGCCAAGGGGUGAGCUUAUAGAGAUUUACGAAAUGAUGAGAUAGGAUAGAUAGAGUCUUUUCCCAAGGGUGGGGGCAGUCUAAAACUAGAGGUUUAAAGUGAGAGGGGAGAAAUUUAAAGGAUAUCUGAGAGGUAAGUUUCUCACACAGAGGGUGGUGGUUACCUGGAACGUGGUGUAAGAGGGGGUGACAGAGGCAGAUAGAAUCAUAAUGUUUAUUCAAACAGAGCAUCAAACAAUCUGCUGGAUGAACUCAGCGGGUCGAACAGCAUCUGUGGGGGGAAGGGAAUCAUUGACGUUUCGGGUUGAAACCCUGCAUCAGGGCCUGGACGGAUAGGAAAGGCGUAGAGGGAUACAGGUUUAAUGCAGGCAAAUGAGAUUAGACAAAAAGGUGAGAAUGGACGUAGGGACCGAAGGGCCUGUUUUUGUGCUGUAUGACUUCAUAAUUUCUGCUUGUCAACAUGAGGUGGUGGCUGUGUGUGCAGGCUCUUGCCCUGUGGACGUCCAGGCAAGUGACAAGAGAAAACAAAAUGGAGCACCUCAGUAGUAAUAAAGGAACCCAUUCAAUCCAGUUAGAGAUAAAAUAGUGACAGUUGUACGUUACAGAUAAUGAGGAAGUCUCUUGAAACAAUGUGGCAAUCUCCUCUGGUUUCUCUUCCUUCUUCACCUCCCACAUACACUGGAUCAGCAGGCACAGUCAAUGCUGCCUGACCCGCUGAGUUCCUCCAGCCCUUCGUUUUUUGCGGCAGGUUCCAGCAUCUUCAGUUUCUCAUGUCUCUACCAUAUGCGUUUCCCCUGGGUGCCCUGGUUUCCUCCCCAAGAUUUGCAGAACUUGGAUCCUAGGCUGAAGAUGAUUGGCAAAAGAACCAGAAGUGACGCAGGAAGAGAAUUCUUUACGCAUUGAGUGGUUGGAGUCUGGAAUGCAUUGCCUGGGCCAUCCCCAGGAAACUUAUAGACUUCAGUCCUGAAGAAGGGUCCUGACCUGAAACGUUGACCGCUUGCUUUUCUCCAGCAUCAUAGUGUUCCCCUCCUCUCCCGCACCUGCCUAUCACUAUCUCUUACCUGCAUCUACCUAUCGCCACCCUGUGCCCAUCCUGCCUCCCCUCUUUUGUCCACCUGUCACUGCUCUGCUUUUCCCUCCUAUAUAUUGGCCUUCCCCUUUUCCUACCUUCAGUCCUGUAGAAGGGUCCUGACCCGAAACAUUGACCUCCUGCUUUUCUCCAUGGAUGCUGCCUGGCCUGCUGAGUUCCUCCAGCAUCAUCAUGUUUUUCAACCUAUAGAUGCCCUAACAUACAAACAAGCUCCCAUAUUAUUAAAUUCAAAACUCCAACGUGCAUUCCUAUGAAUGGCAGAACUGGUUUGCUCUCUCUCCACUUUUAGUAAUUGUUCUUUCUUAUCAGUCAUGUGCUUUUAAUGCCAUUCAUUACAACACUGUGGAGGUAUGGUUACCAUAACGAACUGCCAGAUGACGUGGUAGAGGUGGGUAGAAUUACAAUAUUCAAAAUACACUUGGACAGGUACAUGGAUAGGAAAGGUUUAGAGGGAUAUGGGCCAAAUGUGGGCAAAUGGUACUAGCUUGGGUGGGAAUCUUGGUCAGCAUGGAGGGUUUGGGUGGAAGGGCCUGUUUCCGUGGCGUAUGACUUUAUGACUGUCUGUUUCCUAGCUUAUGACAAAAUUGACAAGAACGGAACCCAUUACCUGGGGACAGCUCCAUUGAACAGCAUGGCACUCUCCACACAGAGGAGUAUACCAGACUCUCUCUUCACCUUUCACUGCCUCAGUAAAGCAGCUAGCAUAAUCAAAGAGCCCACCCACACCAGACAUUCUCUCCUCUGCCCCCUCCCAUUGGGCAGAAGGUACAAAAGCCUGAAAGCACGUACCACCAGGCUCAAGGACAGUUUCUAUCCCACUGUUAGAGGAUUCUUGAACAGACCUCUCAUACAAUAAAGAUGAACUCUUGAUCUCACAGCCUACCUCCUCAUGGCCCUUGCACCUUAUUGUCUGCCUGCACUGCACUUUCUCUGUAACUGUAACACUUUAUUCUGCAUUCUGUCAUUGCUUUUCCCUUGUACUAUCUUCAUCUAAUGUGAUGAAAUGAUCUGUAUGGAUGGCAUGCAAAACAAAAUUUCCCCACUGUACCUUGGUACGCGUGACAAUAAUAAACCACUGACCCAAUUAAGAAUCAGGAUGUCCCACACUCAAAGGCUUUUUCAAUGGGCUUGAAGUAUUAGUGCAUGUUACAUUGUUCAAUGGAGUAUUGUUGCACAAGUGUCAAUACAAAGAAUUACUUGUCGAUUUCCAAAGCAACUCUCUUAAGUGGCCUCCUGCAGUGAAACUGGCAGCCAGUAUUCUUAAGAGUCAGUGUUAUCUGAUUACUGCAGGGAGGUUACUUGUAAAUGGUUUUUUCAAGACUGGUUCUCAUUUGAAUUUAAUAAUAUUUAUGGGAGCUUGCUUGUAUGUACAGGGUGUCCAUAAGUUGGGUGUUUGUAACUUAGGAGGGCCUGUAGUCUCAGUAGCACA